RNAcentral lists this transfer RNA (81 nucleotides) under Spirochaetia bacterium. Its description in RNAcentral is "tRNA-Leu". It matches the Rfam family "tRNA". Rfam says of the family: Transfer RNA (tRNA) molecules are approximately 80 nucleotides in length. Their secondary structure includes four short double-helical elements and three loops (D, anti-codon, and T loops). Further hydrogen bonds mediate the characteristic L-shaped molecular structure. tRNAs have two regions of fundamental functional importance: the anti-codon, which is responsible for specific mRNA codon recognition, and the 3' end, to which the tRNAs corresponding amino acid is attached (by aminoacyl-tRNA synthetases). tRNAs cope with the degeneracy of the genetic code in two manners: having more than one tRNA (with a specific anti-codon) for a particular amino acid; and 'wobble' base-pairing, i.e. permitting non-standard base-pairing at the 3rd anti-codon position. Lineage: Bacteria; Pseudomonadati; Spirochaetota; Spirochaetia. The record is from RNAcentral.
GCGAGCGUGGUGGAAUUGGCAGACACGCCAGACUUAGGAUCUGGUGCUUACGGCUUGAGAGUUCGAGUCUCUCCGCUCGCA